AUACGUAGGUGGCAAGCGUUAUCCGGAAUUAUUGGGCGUAAAGAGGGAGCAGGCGGCAGCAAGGGUCUGUGGUGAAAGCCUGAAGCUUAACUUCAGUAAGCCAUAGAAACCAGGCAGCUAGAGUGCAGGAGAGGAUCGUGGAAUUCCAUGUGUAGCGGUGAAAUGCGAAGAUAUAUGGAGGAACACCAGGGGCGAAGGCGACGAUCUGGCCUGCAACUGACGCUCAGUCCCGAAAGCGUGGGGAGCAAAUAGGAUUAGAUACCCUAGUAGUCCACGCCGUAAACGAUGAGUACUAAGUGUUGGAUGUCAAAGUUCAGUGCUGCAGUUAACGCAAUAAGUACUCCGCCUGAGUAGUACGUUCGCAAGAAUGAAACUCAAAUGAAUUGACGGGG
RNAcentral lists this ribosomal RNA (392 nucleotides) under uncultured bacterium. RNAcentral's name for it is "partial 16S ribosomal RNA". It matches the Rfam family "Bacterial small subunit ribosomal RNA", at positions 523 to 918 of the family's 1533-position model. The record is from RNAcentral.